UCUCCGUUGUGAACCAGCGGAGGGAUCAUUACAGGACUCGCAAGACUCCUACAACCCUGUGAACUUAACUAUAAGCACGUUGCUUCGGCGGGUGUCUCGGAGGGGGUUCUCCCUCCCCGAGACGCUAAACCCGCCGGCAGCCUACUAUACUCUGUCUCUUUGCGUUGGCAUCUCGAGUACAAUCAAACAAGUUAAAACUUUCAACAACGGAUCUCUUGGUUCUG
Molecule: unclassified non-coding RNA, 224 nt
Filed under: plant metagenome
Description: partial contains small subunit ribosomal RNA, internal transcribed spacer 1, and 5.8S ribosomal RNA
Source: RNAcentral